GAAUAUUGGACAAUGGGCGAAAGCCUGAUCCAGCAAUGCCGCGUGAGUGAUGAAGGCCUUAGGGUUGUAAAGCUCUUCUACCCGGGAUGAUAAUGACAGUACCGGGAGAAUAAGCCCCGGCUAACUCCGUGCCAGCAGCCGCGGUAGUACGGAGGGGGCUAGCGUUGUUCGGAAUUACUGGGCGUAAAGGGCUCGUAGGCGGCCAACUAAGUCGGAUGUGAAAUCCCCAGGCUCAACCUGGGAACUGCAUCCGAUACUGGAUGGCUUGAAUUCGGGAGAGGGAUGCAGAAUUCCAGGUGUAGCGGUGAAAUGCGUAGAUAUCUGGAGGAAUACCGGUGGCGAAGGCGGCAUCCUGGACCGACAUUGACGCUGAGGAGCGAAAGCUAGGGGAGCAAACGGG
This 400-nucleotide ribosomal RNA is filed under the name uncultured bacterium. RNAcentral describes it as "bacterial SSU rRNA". It matches the Rfam family "Bacterial small subunit ribosomal RNA", at positions 359 to 776 of the family's 1533-position model. The record is from RNAcentral.